UUUUUCAGAAAACUGGAACAAGAAACACGGUUAAUUUAUUACUAAGAGCAAAAUCAGAAUUGUCAAGUCUUUUAAGCAGAUCUGGUUCUGGAAUGAAAAUUGAAAAAUCACAAUAUGAAUCAAGUGUCAAAAGUUUAUCUGAAAGACAAAAAAGUGUUGUGAAAAAGAGGGAGCUCCCUCCAUUUGUGCAAGUAGAAGUGCUUCAUUCAGGACAAUUGUUUGUAAGUGUAGUUAUAUUUACAAUAAAUAAAAAAAGAUGUUUUGUGCAUACAAAAUAUAAAAAGAACUUAAAACGGAAACUGCGCUAUAUCUGACUAUGUGGCACCUAAAAAUAUCACAGUGCAAAUACAAUAUUUUACAUGCAACUUUGAUCAGAGAGAAGAAAAAUAUACAAAAGAGACAUUCAAACUGACAGAUCGAAAAUGACUAUUCGAUCUAUAGCUGACUAUUCGGUAUCAGCUUUGCCGUACGGUGACCUAUAGUUGUUAAUGUCUGUGUCAUUUUGGUCUCUUGUGGACAGUUGUCUCAUUGGCAAUCAUACCACAUCUUCUUUUUUAUAUUGACAACGAUAAAGUUCGUUUAUUUAUGCAGUGCAUAUCUACAUAUAAACUGGUAAUGUUAUUCACUAAAAUAAUAAUCCAUAUACUAGUAUAAGGGUUUACGAUGUGAUAGCGAAAGUGAGUGAUUGUGGAAUACAUUUCAAUGAACAUGUUUACCCGUAUUUGACACAACCUUUAUCAACUUUUGAUCUUCAGUGCUGUACAGCUUUGUACCUUUUUUUCACUUUCGAUCUUUUAUAUCUGGGCGUCACCGGCGAGUCUUGUGUGGACGAGGCGCGUUUUUGGCGUAUUGAAUUUUAAACCUGAUGCUUUUUGUUAUCCAUUAAUCAUGUGUUUCUUUGUCUAAUACGUUCUCCUAUUUAUUUGUAUUGUAGUCCUGUAAUAUUAUGUUGUCAUUUCAAUGUUAUAUUUAACAUGCCAUUAAAGUGCGAGGUUUGGCAUGCCACAAAACAAGGUUCAACCCACCAUUUGUUUCUUUAAAAAUGUCCUGUACCAAGUCAGGAAUAUGGCCAUUGUUAUAUUAUAGUUCGUUUCUGUGUGUGUUACAUUUUAAUGUUGCGUCGUUUGUUUUCUCUUAUUUUUAGUGUAAAUUCACAUUGCGAUAAGACGUGUCACGGUACUUGUCUAUCCCAAAUUCAUGUAUUUGGUUUUGAUGUUAUAUUUGUUAUUUUCGUGGGAUUUUGUCUGAUGCUUGGUCCGUUUCUGUGUGUGUUACAUUGUAGUGUUGUGUCGUUGUUCUCCUCUUAUAUUUGGUGCGUUUCCCUCAGUUUUAGUUUGUUACCCCGAUUUUGUUUUUUGUCCAUGGAUUUAUGAGUUUGAACAGCGGUAUACUACUGUUGCCUUUAUUUAGCUAUACAUUAUAAUAGUUUUGUAAACGACAAAACCUUGUCCUUAUCAAGUCAUGGCCAAUCUCUUAUAAAUGUUUGAUAUGUUUUUUUCAAGUCCACAAUUCGUUUGUAGGGUUUGCUGUCUCUAUUGGAACCAUCACAAAGAGGACCAUCAGUAAGCUAAGUAAGUAAAAUCUUCUUAACUUUAUUGACUGGUAUGAAUGCCAAUGAGACAACUCUCCAUCCAAGUCACAAUAUGUUAAAGUAAACCAUUAUAAGUCAAAGUAAGGUCUUCAUAACGGAUCAUUGACUCACACUGAACAUCAAGCCAUAAAGGGCCUCAAACGGGAAAACCAACGGUCUAAUCUAUAUAAAAACGAGAAACAAGAAACACUUAUGAACUACAUCAACAAACUACAACCUACUGAAAAUCCGAUACCUAACUCAUUUGCCAAUUAAUGAUUUUGAAAUUACAUGAUCAGCCUUAGAAUUAUCGAUGUAAUAUUUUAAUUCUUAGUGUAUACCCCCCAAAUUCAGGAUUAGUAAACGACACUGUUGUAAUAUUAUUGUCAUGAUGAAGAUUAAUAUGAACAUUUCAUUCUAUGGUUGUUUUAAUAACUUUAUAACUUAAUAAAUUAUGUAAGUCAAUUUUGCUUAGCAAGACAUUGCUUUAAAGUGAUUUUGUAUAUGAUUCGUCUUUUAUUCAAGUAGAAUAGGUCAAGGGGGAAGCCAUAGGAAAGUUAUACCAUGUACGUGUUCAAAAGUGCACACGAAAGACUUAUUUAAGAUUGAUAUAUUGAUUAAAGGCUAAUGGCCGUUUACCAUAUUUUACAGGUAAGCGGAGAGUGUGAAGUCCUUGUGAUCUACAAAAAGUUCUUCAAUAAAAGUUGUGAUGAUGCGAUGAAAAGUUGGAUUAUUUUGAAGGUGAGAUAUAUAAGAUCAUAUAACAGAGACUAAUUCAGUUUGAUAAAUAACGCACUUACAAAUAAACAAGAACUAUCUUUAAAAAAGAUAUCCGACGUAUUUAAAUUUGAGUAUAUGUUUAAAACUAUCAUUCGAUAACCUUCAGAAGCACAAUGACUUAAAUCUCCAUCUGAAUGUAACUACAAGAAAUUCUGUUUACAUUCACCAAAACCCCGCGGAAAUCUCACAUGCGUAGGUGCGUUCUAAAAGUCAUGUACGUUUGUACAACAAAGUUUACAUUAAAAAUUAUAUAAUUGUCCCGAAUAAACAGCUGUCAUGGUUGCAAAGAGCUGGAGAAACAAUUAUUUUAAUAAAAAAAAAUCUUUGUAAGAUCUAGUUAAAAUAUUUAUAGUUUUUUACUUGCUUUCCAUCACGAUAUAAUUAACGAAACGUUUUAUCAAACACAACCAAAUCACCCACCAUGACAGCAUUUUGUCCAAUCACAGAAAGGAUUUUCGAGCAUGCGUAUUCUGUUGCCAUAGUUAAGCGUCCUUAAGUUCAAAGGGCACAAUCCUAAACUAUACCACCACGUCGGAAAAAAAAUUGUAUUUUGACCUGAGGCUAGAUUACAUUUAAUGUUUUUUUUUAUUUUAUAUUUCUGCAAUACUGACUUGGUACUGUUAAUGUAAAUUUGUUUAUACUAUAAGUUAAAUUUGUAGCAUUCUCAUCAAUAACGGCCUUUUGAAUGCGUAUUAUAACUAUAACGUUUUGUAUAAAUAGUUAACCACUUCAAUUGCAGGAAAAACCAUUCCCUCCACAACAGGAGCUAGUAGACAGGCUAGAUAUAUCCAUGCAAUGGGACGAAUUUAAACACGACCCUGUAAAAGAUUUCAUGUACAAUUUAACGAGAAUGAAAGAAAUUAAGCGAUGAAUUGUUUGAGGCGUGAUUGAUAUACUAACUUGUCUUUCAUUUCAUGUUUAACUUUUUUUAUAUAAAAAAAAAAUAAAGCA
This 3301-nucleotide long non-coding RNA is filed under the name Mytilus galloprovincialis (Mediterranean mussel). The record is from RNAcentral. Lineage: Eukaryota; Metazoa; Mollusca; Bivalvia; Mytilida; Mytilidae.